GAUCGCCUACGGGACGCAGCAGUGGGGAAUGUUGCGCAAUGGGCGAAAGCCUGACGCAGCGACGCCGCGUGAGGGAUGAAGGUCUUCGGAUCGUAAACCUCUGUCAGCAGGGAAGAACGGUCACCGUGCUAAUCAGCAGUGAAUUGACGGUACCUGCAAAGGAAGCACCGGCUAACUCCGUGCCAGCAGCCGCGGUAAUACGGAGGGUGCGAGCGUUAAUCGGAAUUACUGGGCGUAAAGCGCUCGUAGGCGGUAUGUUAAGUCAAGGGUGAAAUCCCCGCGCUCAACGUGGGAACUGCCUUUGA
This 305-nucleotide ribosomal RNA is filed under the name uncultured bacterium. Its description in RNAcentral is "bacterial SSU rRNA". It matches the Rfam family "Bacterial small subunit ribosomal RNA", at positions 333 to 630 of the family's 1533-position model. The record is from RNAcentral.